Molecule: small RNA, 46 nt
Filed under: Acidobacteriia bacterium SbA2
Lineage: Bacteria; Pseudomonadati; Acidobacteriota; Terriglobia
Description: Solibacteres bacterium SbA2 Acido-Lenti-1
Rfam family: Acido-Lenti-1 RNA
Source: RNAcentral
CCCACGGCUCGCGGCGUGGGCUACUUUCUGCCGCCGCUCCGCGGCU